This 70-nucleotide transfer RNA is filed under the name Gallinago stenura (pintail snipe). Its description in RNAcentral is "tRNA-Lys". The record is from RNAcentral. Lineage: Eukaryota; Metazoa; Chordata; Aves; Charadriiformes; Scolopacidae.
CAUUAAGAAGCUAUGCACCAGCACUAGCCUUUUAAGCUAGAGACAGAGGAUUAUUAACCCCUCCUUAAUG